CAUUACCGAGUUUACAACUCCCAAACCCCUGUGAACAUACCUUAUGUUGCCUCGGCGGAUCAGCCCGCGCCCCGUAAAAAGGGACGGCCCGCCGCAGGAACCCUAAACUCUGUUUUUAGUGGAACUUCUGAGUAUAAAAAACAAAUAAAUCAAAACUUUCAACAACGGAUCUCUUGGUUCUGGCAUCGAUGAAGAACGCAGCAAAAUGCGAUAAGUAAUGUGAAUUGCAGAAUUCAGUGAAUCAUCGAAUCUUUGAACGCACAUUGCGCCCGCCAGUAUUCUGGCGGGCAUGCCUGUUCGAGCGUCAUUUCAACCCUCAAGCCCAGCUUGGUGUUGGGAGCUGCAGUCCUGCUGCACUCCCCAAAUACAUUGGCGGUCACGUCGAGCUUCCAUAGCGUAGUAAUUUACAUAUCGUUACUGGUAAUCGUCGCGGCCACGCCGUUAAACCCCAACUUCUGAAUGUUGACCUCGGAUCAGGUAGGAAUACCCGCUGAACUUAAGCAUAUCAAUAAGCGGAGGAAAAGAAACCAACAGGGAUUGCCCUAGUAACGGCGAGUGAAGCGGCAACAGCUCAAAUUUGAAAUCUGGCUUUCGGGCCCGAGUUGUAAUUUGUAGAGGAUGAUUUUGAUGCGGUGCCUUCCGAGUUCCCUGGAACGGGACGCCAUAGAGGGUGAGAGCCCCGUCUGGUUGGAUGCCAAAUCUCUGUAAAUCUCCUUCGACGAGUCGAGUAGUUUGGGAAUGCUGCUCUAAAUGGGAGGUAUAUGUCUUCUAAAGCUAAAUACCGGCCAGAGACCGAUAGCGCACAAGUAGAGUGAUCGAAAGAUGAAAAGCACUUUGAAAAGAGAGUUAAAAAGUACGUGAAAUUGUUGAAAGGGAAGCGUUUAUGACCAGACUUGGGCUUGGUUAAUCAUCUGGGGUUCUCUCCAGUGCACUUUUCCAGCCCAGGCCAGCAUCAGUUUUCGCCGGGGGAUAAAGACUUCGGGAAUGUGGCUCCCCUCGGGGAGUGUUAUAGCCCGUUGUGUAAUACCCUGGUGGGGACUGAGGUUCGCGCU
This 1052-nucleotide small RNA is filed under the name Fusarium cerealis. Its description in RNAcentral is "eukaryotic LSU rRNA". The stretch from base 464 to 1052 matches the Rfam family "Eukaryotic large subunit ribosomal RNA", at positions 1 to 601 of the family's 3401-position model. Lineage: Eukaryota; Fungi; Ascomycota; Sordariomycetes; Hypocreales; Nectriaceae. The record is from RNAcentral.